This is a long non-coding RNA of Manis pentadactyla (Chinese pangolin), 1285 nucleotides long. RefSeq lists it as uncharacterized. The transcript is spliced from 3 exons. NCBI's taxonomy places the organism in Eukaryota, Metazoa, Chordata, Mammalia, Pholidota, Manidae. The record is from RefSeq and is a predicted model, not a curated record.
GAAGCAUAGUUCAGAAGGAAGGAAUUCAGCAUUGUAGAAGAAAAAGAGAAUUUUAUCUCCCUUGGCUUUCAUCACUAUUGUUAAAAGACCCCAAAUCCUACUGCAGCGGAUGGAGCCAGACACAGGCAAUUUAGAGAUUUCAGAGUUGAAGUCAGGAAAUAAAUGCAUAGAAGGGACUCUGCAAAGUCUCACUGGCUCAGAGCCCUAAUGAGUUCAUCAGCCAAGAUGGCUGGGAGCCUUAGGAAGGGCAGUCGUUUUGGGGUUUGCUCGUGAGACCCCUGGUUCCUCUGAAACGCGCCGGCUGCUGGCCGGCUUGCCCAGCAGCACUCUCUCCGUCAGCUUCCCAGGCAUCCUGACGUUUCAGUCUUGGACCCGAGCCUCUUUAGGACAGAGACAGGCCUGACUGUAACGAAUGGCUGCACCUCUGUGAAUGCACAGUGUGCACAUUGCUUCCACCGUGCCCUUUGUGCAGAGCUGUGCGGAGAUGCUGAUGAUUAAACCGUGAACCUGGCCUUGGGCUGAGGAGGCGGCGGCGCGAGCCUGCAAUGAGGUGUUCACUCUCAUUCAUAGCUGCUGCCGACUCUCGGAGCCUCUCGGCCCCCAGCAGCGUGACUCACGUCUUAUUAUUCCCUCCAGCCUGUGUAUGUCGACUUUAAAUCCUCCCGUCUGACGCCACGCCGCCAGGCUGCAGUCAAGGCAGCGAGCGGCCGAAGCGCCUCCCAGGAACACCUCUGCCUCCGUUGUCUGGAGAGGGGAACUUGGCUUCCAGCCGUUCGGCAGACACUGUUUCUUCCCUUCAUGUUACACAAAUCUUUCUUGUUACUUAUCUUCAUUCUAAUUAAGGGGAAAUUGCAAAUGCACUGUCUUGCAGAGAUGUCCGGAAAUCAGUUCUAAUCAUACAGGGUGAAAAAAACAAAACAAGAUCCUUGACCCAGUGUCCUCAAAGAGAUUACAGAGAGUGACUUAAAAGCCUCACAAAUAAAUGCUACAAUGGUGCUAGCGUGUGCUGGGGUUUGUGGCUGAUCCCGGUGACGUCAGUGUGGCAGUGCGGAGUCAGGCGGCGGCAGCUCGCUAUAAACCGAGGAGCUGUCCGGGUGCUGAAACGGCCCGAGCAGCUCACCCGGUGGACGGGGAUUAACAUGCUGUGGACCUUCUCUGCUGUAUAAAAAAGGGUAAGACUACUUUUUCUCUUCCGUUUACUGGAAAGUUCUAAAUUGUGUGUUCUACCCUUGAGUGCUAGCUGAGAAGAAAAAGACCACGUAGCAAGCUUAUAUAUCUACAGAGU